Phacochoerus africanus (Common warthog) is the source of this 719-nucleotide long non-coding RNA. RefSeq lists it as uncharacterized. NCBI's taxonomy places the organism in Eukaryota, Metazoa, Chordata, Mammalia, Artiodactyla, Suidae. The record is from RefSeq and is a predicted model, not a curated record. The transcript is spliced from 5 exons.
GACUUUGUUCUACACACGGAGGUUUCCUCUAGGAGUUCCCGGGACUGGCGAUUCCAGUCUUGUCCUCAUCGUCCUCACAGGCCGUCCUGCUCCGCCUUCCCGGCCCCGGGCUGGCUCCCAGGCCUGUGCUCCAGGCAGGAAGACCAGCUAAGCCUCCUCUGUCCCCGGAUCCCUGAUCCAGGCUCGUCCACACACUUCUCUCUCGCAGGAAUCUGGGGUCGCCAGUCAGAGCCUCCAGCCCUGAGGUUCUCAAACCCUCCUGUGCCUUAGGAUCAUCUGGGGAGCUUGUGAAGGAGGCAGAACCCGGAUCCCGCACCCCACCCAUCAAGAGGAUUGCAGCAGAGACUCGGCCCCUGCGUUAACAGGCACACAGAUGUGCACAGAAAGAAGGUGAGCACCGAGCAGUCGCGAUGGUUAUUUGGUCUAUCCCCGGAGACUGGAUUGAGCUCCCCGUGCUGCACAGGAGGACCUCACUGCUUAUCCAUUCUAAGUGGAAGAGUUUGCAGCUACGAACCCCAAACUCUCCCUCCAUCCCACCCCCUCCCUCCUCCCGAGGGUCUCAUGACGAUACAGAUGGUCCUUCCCAAGGGGAAACGACCGGGGAGGCACCUCCUGACCACUACCGCGCACUGCCGCAGAAGGGACGGGAGGUAUGCGCUGCUGAGAGCCGUGUCCCACCCCUGCAGCCGCAUGUGGAAGUCCCUGGACCAGGGAUCAAA